UGGGGAAUUUUGGACAAUGGGGGAAACCCUGAUCCAGCCAUCCCGCGUGUGCGAUGAAGGCCUUCGGGUUGUAAAGCACUUUUGGCAGGAAAGAAACGUCAUGGGUUAAUACCCCGUGAAACUGACGGUACCUGCAGAAUAAGCACCGGCUAACUACGUGCCAGCAGCCGCGGUAAUACGUAGGGUGCAAGCGUUAAUCGGAAUUACUGGGCGUAAAGCGUGCGCAGGCGGUUCGGAAAGAAAGAUGUGAAAUCCCAGAGCUCAACUUUGGAACUGCAUUUUUAACUACCUGGCUAGAGUGUGUCAGAGGGAGGUGGAAUUCCGCGUGUAGCCGUGACAUGCGUAGAUAUGCGGAGGAACACCGAUGGCGAAGGCAGCCUCCUGGGAUAACACUGACGCUCAUGCACGAAAGCGUGGGGAGCAAACAGG
Molecule: ribosomal RNA, 429 nt
Filed under: Acidobacteriota bacterium
Lineage: Bacteria; Pseudomonadati; Acidobacteriota
Description: Acidobacteria bacterium partial 16S ribosomal RNA
Rfam family: Bacterial small subunit ribosomal RNA
Source: RNAcentral